This 472-nucleotide ribosomal RNA is filed under the name uncultured bacterium. RNAcentral's name for it is "bacterial SSU rRNA". It matches the Rfam family "Bacterial small subunit ribosomal RNA", at positions 20 to 507 of the family's 1533-position model. The record is from RNAcentral.
CCUUUCAGGACGAACGCUGGCGGCGUGCUUAACACAUGCAAGUCGAGCGAUGAAGCACCUUCGGGUGUGGAUUAGCGGCGAACGGGUGAGGAACACGUGAGGAAUCUGCCUUCCACUCUGGGAUAACUCCGGGAAACCGGGGCUAAUACCGGAUACUUUCAACUGGCGGCAUCGCCGGUUGAAGAAAGUUUUUCGGUGGAAGAUGACCUCGCGGCCUAUCAGCUUGUUGGUGAGGUAAUGGCUCACCAAGGCAACGACGGGUAGCCGGCCUGAGAGGGCGACCGGCCACACUGGGACUGAGACACGGCCCAUACUCCUACGGGAGGCAGCAGUGGGGAAUAUUGGGCAAUGGAGGAAACUCUGACCCAGCGACGCCGCGUGAGGGAUGAAGGCCUUCGGGUUGUAAACCUCUUUCAGCAGGGAAUAAGCGAAAGUGAAGGUACCUGCAGAAGAAGCACCGGCUAACUAUGUG